GCUUGGGUGGCUCAGUCAGUGGAGCAUGGGACUCUUUGAUCUUAGGGUCGUGAGUUCAAGCCCCACAUCAGGCG
RNAcentral lists this transfer RNA (74 nucleotides) under Felis catus (domestic cat). It matches the Rfam family "tRNA". Rfam says of the family: Transfer RNA (tRNA) molecules are approximately 80 nucleotides in length. Their secondary structure includes four short double-helical elements and three loops (D, anti-codon, and T loops). The record is from Rfam by way of RNAcentral. Lineage: Eukaryota; Metazoa; Chordata; Mammalia; Carnivora; Felidae. RNAcentral also lists the same sequence under 6 other names.